Molecule: long non-coding RNA, 562 nt
Organism: Bombyx mori (domestic silkworm)
Lineage: Eukaryota; Metazoa; Arthropoda; Insecta; Lepidoptera; Bombycidae
Exons: 2
Source: RefSeq, a predicted model, not a curated record
UCAGACUUGCCUGCGGGAUUAGGAAUUGAACAAGGUUUCAUUCUGUUAUAAUAAAGAAGUAUUUACACAGGGCGUUUUACUGAUUAAGCCAUGACAAUUUGACUUAGCCUGGUUACAUUUUUAACAUCAGAUGACUUAUUGUGGAGAAAGGGAUUCAAAGAAAAAAAUGAGGUCAGCAUCAAACAGCGAUCAAUCAGCACAAUAGGUACUAAAAUUAAUAUUCGUUAAAGUUCCUUUUAUGUUCUAUAAUCUCAUUUUCGCUUCAGCUGAUUACUGAAAAAUCUGAUAACGACUUCAAAAGCGCAUAUCUAAUAACUAUUGACAUAAAUAAAGCCAUCUUAACCUUACUUAACACUUACUUAAUGUUCGCACAUUGCUAGAGUGCUGGUGCAACGAAAAAUGGAGUGUGUUUUUUUCGACCCUUACAAGAAAAAAUAUCUAUAACAAAACACAAAUAUUAAUAGGAGUCGUAGUACAAUAAAAAUCACUGAUCAAGUAAAAAAAACAGUGGGAAUAAUUGUAAACGCUUUAACAAAAACCGACUUCAAAUAGAAAAAAAUAA